GGAAGCAUAACUCAAUAGGUAGAGUAAUCUACUUUUAACAGAUUAAUCCUGGU
This 53-nucleotide transfer RNA is filed under the name Sanghuangporus vaninii. RNAcentral's name for it is "tRNA-Lys". Lineage: Eukaryota; Fungi; Basidiomycota; Agaricomycetes; Hymenochaetales; Hymenochaetaceae. The record is from RNAcentral.